Molecule: long non-coding RNA, 3803 nt
Organism: Nicotiana tabacum (common tobacco)
Lineage: Eukaryota; Viridiplantae; Streptophyta; Magnoliopsida; Solanales; Solanaceae
Source: RefSeq, a predicted model, not a curated record
AUAACCCAACCCCUAAUUCAUUCACUUUAGUCAUCUCUUUCUUCGAACAAACCCCUUUCUCAAAAUCCCUCUUUAGUUUUAUUAGGAUUUCGGAUUGAAAGCAGGCUAUUGUCAACAGUGGUUUCAAAAUUCGAUUUUGUGGGAAGAUUGAUGUAAAUUAUCAAGCAUGACUGAUGACUGAUGGGUGAAUGGCUAAUUUCUCCAGAGUUAUUGUAUAGUAAGAAGUUGGUCCAUAUGUGGAAUAGGUUUGGCCUGGAUUUGUUGUCUUAUAAAGAUUUAUGUGAAGAGUCCACAAAAGAGUUAGGGUUUACUAAUGUGAAACGGCUUUUAGUUGUUGGGCCCUCGGGUAGGUUCUAUAUAAUUGAUGGAGAUGAUGGUAUCAGGGCGGGCUUUACAGUGCGUUAUAUGUUUGGAGUUCAAAAUUGUAAACUUGUUUGUUGUAGAUGAGUUAGAUUUGACUGUCCAUACUCAAAAUAUUCCGCAUCAUACUGAAACAUAUCAUGUAGAUGUUAAAGCAGUAUCUGAAAAUGAACAUGUUAUUGGGGAUUAUGAUUUUGAUGUUGAUGCUACAUCUAAUGUUGAUUAUGAUUCUGAAGGACUUGAGGUUAUUAGCAAACAAAGGAUGAGGGUAGUUGUUUGACCAAAAAGUAUAACUUUCGGCUGAAACUAUUAUAUUUACGUAAUAACGGGUUAAACCUAGUUAAUGAUAAUAUCUCUAGAUGCGAAUCUUGAAAACGGGUGUGAGGUGGGAUAGAUCCAAUAAGGGGUUGACAAUAACAAGCAUUAAAUAGUCAUAAAGUAUAAGCAAUAAUGGAAUGAAGAGUGGCUGAUAAUAAAUAGCAAUAAAUGGAAUUUGAGUAAAUAGGAGGAGUGAUUCACCCAAUAAAUAAUGAGCUAGGUGAUUAUUCCUUCUCACAAUGAUGAGUGAUAGACAGAUCUUAGAACAUUCAAAAUCUUCUCGGAUCUGAUGGAAAAGUGUAGGAUAAUAUGAAUAAGAAUCUUGAUAAAAGAGUGUUCUUUGUAUCUUUUCAAGAGGAAGGGAAUCGUUUUGCAAGGUCUGCUCUUAUCAUAAUGAAUAUCACAUGCCUCUAUUUAUUAACCUUUUCUAUUUAUAUGAGACAUACUCCCAGUAAACCCUAGCAGUACAAGUGCAGAGAAUAUUCAAUGGAAUAUUCUGUUUAAUUCCCUAUUCUAAUAAAUUAGUCGUUACAACUCUUUCUGCGGUGCUUGACAUCGGCCAUCAUUUGCAUAUCGACCACGAGCCUCAAUAUCUCCUGGUCGACCUCGGAUGACUCUUUUCUCGAUGUUAUUUUGCCCUAAGUACUGAGACAGAUUUCGACUUAUACAGUAGUAAGUGAUAGGUUGGAGAAUUUUAAGGAGUUGGAUAAGGGUAUGACAUUUAAGGAUAUUGUGGAAGCUAAAAGGGUAAUGAACUAUUAUGCAAUUGCUAAUGGGUAUGGCUUGAAGAUUGAAAAAAACAAAUCCUAUUAGGGCUAGAUAUAUUUGUGAUGUUGGAUGCCCUUUUAGAUGUUCUAUCUCAAGGUAUAAAAAGACUAAUGAGUUUAGUAUCAAAAACUUGAAAGCAAUCCAUAAUUGUGAUCCUUGUUAUAAAAACCCAAGGACUGAUGCUAAGACAUUAGCACAAUACUUUAAUAAUAAACUACAAAACAAUCCCAAGUACACUAUUAGGGAUAUGAGAUAGAAAUUAGAGACUGAUUUUAAACUGGUAGUGACAAAAUUUAAGAUUAAAAGGGCUAAGGUGAUGGCCCUUGAGAAGUUAGAUGGGAGUUUCAAGGAUGAAUAUAACAAGCUUGACGCUUAUGGUCAAGAACUAAGAAAGUCUAAUUCUGGGAGUGAUGUUGCAAUCAACAUAUCAAAGGAUAAUUUGGAAGAAGGAAAAAGAAGGUUCUUGAGAUUGUACAUAUAUUUCCAAGCUUUGAAGCUAUGCUUCAAAAGUGGAUUAAGACCACUUAUUGGUUUGAAUGGUACUUUCUUGAAAGGAAAAUACAAGGGUCAGCUAUUGGUGGCCAUGGGACAGGAUUCUAUGAAUCAGUUCUAUCCACUUGCAUGGGCAGUGAUUGACAAGGAAACAAGCAGGACAUGAAGUUGGUUUGUUGAGCUUUUGAAAAGGUUUUGGACCUAAAUAAUGGGGCUGGAGUGACGUUUAUACUAGACAUGAAAAAGCACUGUACUUCCUUAUGCUCAUCACAUGUAUUGUGCUAGACACAUUGAAGCCAACUGGUUAAAAAAAAUGGAGGAGUGGAAAAAUGAGGAAGUUGGUGUGGUGGCGUGCUUGGAGUACUUAUGAAGAAGAGUUUAAAGAUCAAUUGUUGAAGCCUGGGGGAUGUCAAUGGAUGCUGCAAGGGGCCUGAUCAACUAUCUACCAAAAGCAUGAUAUAGAGCCUACUUUGAUACACAGUGUAAAAAUCUAAUGGUGGACAACAACUUUACUGAGUCCUUUAAUGCAUGGAUUCUGGAUGCUAGACAUAUGCCAAUUAUCAAGAUAUUGGAGGCAAUAAGGAUCAAGGUCAUGAAAAGGCUUGCUGAUUAUGAAGGCAAAGCUAUGUGCUGGAAUGCAAAUUUCAGUCCACCAUGUAUGAAAUUAUACAGUGACUAUAGGGCAAUAUCACAUGCUUGCACUUUGAACUUUAAUGGAGACUAUGGCUUUGAAAUCACAGAAGGUAAAGACAAAUAUACUGUGAAUCUUGAGAAGAAGAGAUGUACCUACAGGUUGUGGGAUUUAUCUGGGAUACCUUGUCCCCAUGCUAUUAAGGCAUUAAUGUAUGAGGAGAUUGAACCAGUGACACAAAUACACUGGUGGUAUAGUAAUGAGGCUUAUUUGCUGACAUACAAGUACAAUUCAGCCUAUUAAAGGGGUGCAAUUCUGGAAAGUUCUGCCUAGUCAAGCCAUAGAGCCACGUGAAAUUGUCAAGAUGGUUGGAAGACCCAAAGUAAAGAGGAAUAGGGUUGCGGAUGAAGCUUUGAAGAGGAAAGGUGAAUGGGGCAGUUCAAGGAAGAGGAUUAUAAUGACAUGCAGUAAGUGUGCAUAUGAAAAUCAUAAUGCAAAAGAAUGUUACAAGAGUAAUAGUGUUAGGCUGUGUUCAAAGAAGAGGAAAGACUUGGACAAUACCCCCACAUUGACAUCUUCAGAAGAUGAAACACGAGAGCUUGGACAGAGCUGAAUGUUUAGUGAAGCAUUCUUUGAAACUGAAGUGGGAACACAACGGUCAGUCUUUAACACUCAAGCUCGAACACAAGAGUACAACAUUUAUGGACCUGGUAUUGGAGAUGAUGAAGACCUAACAAUUAGGCUGAUGGUUAUAUUUAAGACUGUCACAAGACUAACCAUGAGAAAGGUACACAUGAAUCUAACUGGUAUAAGAAUGAUUCAAUUUACUUGAGAUGAAACAGGUGCAACAACACCAACGAACCUGCUUUAUUCACCAACAAAGGCUACUUGAAAUGGAAAACCAGCAAUUACAUCAAGCCAGCUUCAAGCAUAAGUUAGAAAAAGAAGUACAAUAUGAAGGCAAUAAAGGGCCAGGGAGAACCAGCAAAUGAUUGAAACAAGCAUUUUAAGCUACUGUUUGUUUUUUGUGGAUUAAGUUUUUGUAAUGUUCAAUUAUACAGCUAGACUGUUGAAGCAUGGUGGUAUUUAAAGGUUAAACUGGUUGACUAUUUGGCUUUUUGUUGUUACAUUUAGUUUAACCUUGAAAUAUCAAUUAGAUUUUAGUAUUAUGUAUUUUGAAGACAGUUGAUGUUAGACAUCUUAUUUAAAUGUCAGCUUUGAUCAGUUUAGUUUA